RNAcentral lists this ribosomal RNA (506 nucleotides) under uncultured bacterium. Its description in RNAcentral is "partial 16S ribosomal RNA". It matches the Rfam family "Bacterial small subunit ribosomal RNA", at positions 29 to 523 of the family's 1533-position model. The record is from RNAcentral.
AUUGAACGCUGGCGGCAGGCCUAACACAUGCAAGUCGGACGGUAGCACAGGGGAGCUUGCUCCUCGGGUGACGAGUGGCGGACGGGUGAGUAAUGUCUGGGGAUCUGCCCGAUAGAGGGGGAUAACCACUGGAAACGGUGGCUAAUACCGCAUAAUGUCGCAAGACCAAAGAGGGGGACCUUCGGGCCUCCCACUAUCGGAUGAACCCAGAUGGGAUUAGCUAGUAGGCGGGGUAACGGCCCACCUAGGCGACGAUCCCUAGCUGGUCUGAGAGGAUGACCAGCCACACUGGAACUGAGACACGGUCCAGACUCCUACGGGAGGCAGCAGUGGGGAAUAUUGCACAAUGGGCGCAAGCCUGAUGCAGCCAUGCCGCGUGUAUGAAGAAGGCCUUCGGGUUGUAAAGUACUUUCAGCGGGGAGGAAGGCGAUGUGGCUAAUAACCGCGUCGAUUGACGUUACCCGCAGAAGAAGCACCGGCUAACUCCGUGCCAGCAGCCGCGGUAA